CCUACGGGUGGCAGCAGUGGGGGAUAUUGCACAAUGGGGGAAACCCUGAUGCAGCGACGCCGCGUGGGUGAAGAAGCGCCUCGGCGCGUAAAGCCCUGUCAGCAGGGACGAAAAUGCCGGUAUCUGAAGACGAAGCCCCGGCUCACUACGUGCCAGCAGCCGCGGUAAUACGUAGGGGGCACGCGUUAUCCGGCUUUACUGGGGGUAUAGGGGGCGCAGACGGGGAUGCAAGCCAGGAGGGAAAGCCCGGGGCUCAACCCCGGGCCUGCUCUUGGCACUGGGGGUCGAGAGUGCAGGGGGGGCAGGCGGAAUGCCUGGUGUAGCGGUGAAAUGCGUAGAUAGCAGGAGGAACACCGGUGGCGAAGGCAGCCUGCUGGACUGCAACUGACGUUGAGGCCCGAAAGCGUGGGGAGCGAACAGGAUUAGAUACCCCAGUAGUC
This 440-nucleotide ribosomal RNA is filed under the name uncultured bacterium. RNAcentral describes it as "partial 16S ribosomal RNA". It matches the Rfam family "Bacterial small subunit ribosomal RNA", at positions 338 to 795 of the family's 1533-position model. The record is from RNAcentral.